This 217-nucleotide unclassified non-coding RNA is filed under the name Hevea brasiliensis (rubber tree). The record is from RNAcentral. Lineage: Eukaryota; Viridiplantae; Streptophyta; Magnoliopsida; Malpighiales; Euphorbiaceae.
GACAAAAGUUAACUAACUGAAGUCUUGUACGGAAGAUGGCUCAAAAUGAAAUUGAAGAUAUGUUAGAUCACCUGAGAAGGAUCAAGAGUGGAGGUAAUCUGGAUAGGGUCAAGAUCAAUCGAAUUGAGAAACUUGAAAUGGUGUUCAAGUAUCAUCAUGUUCUUUUGCCUGAUUCCAUCGUCAAACUCAAAAAGAAGGACAAAUGGAUUGCGAAAAU